GGAAAGGUGGCAGAGUGGUCGAAUGCGCCGGACUCGAAAUCCGGUGUACUACAUCGUAGUACCGAGGGUUCGAAUCCUCCCUUUUCCGCCA
This 91-nucleotide transfer RNA is filed under the name Betaproteobacteria bacterium. RNAcentral describes it as "tRNA-Ser". It matches the Rfam family "tRNA". From Rfam's summary of the family: Transfer RNA (tRNA) molecules are approximately 80 nucleotides in length. Their secondary structure includes four short double-helical elements and three loops (D, anti-codon, and T loops). Lineage: Bacteria; Pseudomonadati; Pseudomonadota; Betaproteobacteria. The record is from RNAcentral.